GGUGGUUUCUAUAGCUAAUCUAGAACAGAGAGGUCGCGGGUUCGAAUCCUUCAGGUUUCCUCACACUCGCAAUUGUGCAGUUUAAUGGAAUAAUGGAAGAAAAAAAACUAACCGGGUCAGCCCAGCGCGGGGUGGAGGCGCCUGUUUACAAAAUGCACAGUAACAGACGCCUAAAGCGCCAAACAGGAACCAAACAGGAAAGAGCCUCAACAGGAAAUGCCGUAGCAUUAGCGGGCCUGUUAUACAUCGAACUGACCAAAUGCAAAUUUGGGCCUCAUCUCUGGCGGCGCAGCCAUCCCGUGCCACCACCGUCCACCGGCGGGCGCCGACCUCCCGCUGCCCCCCAGCCCACACCUGCCGCGUCGCCGGAUCGCCGCCGUGGCCCGCCGCGCCGCCCUCCUGCUGCACCGCCUCAAACCAAUGGCGCAGGAGGAGGAGAAGAGAGCCAAACGCGGCCAUCGUUAUCGAUACUGUAGAAAAGCAAAAAAGGAGUGGAGAAAGAAGUGAAUCUGCAGGCAAUUAGGCGGGCAAUGCCUGGUGGAGGUACCAGACUUUGAUAUGAUGGUGUUUACUGACAGAAGUGAAGAAAAGCCAAAACUAACAGACGUAACAAGUUGUCCUAUUCUUCACCGUUACAUGUAAUGAUAAAAAAAAGUCACCAAAGCAAAGGGAUCUGAGCCUGGCAAUUUCCUGGAAAGACUGAUGAAGGAACAUGUUGAGUCCAGAUGGAAAAAGGGAACACGGUUGGUUGGUGUGUGUGUGUGUGACACUAUACAUGCCCUUCUCUUUUUCUUGUCACUAGUCAACAAUCUCUGUCCCUUAUUGGAUGGAAAAUCUGGAAAAAAUCCACCAUGGAUGACCGCUUCAACGUAAAUUAUGAUUUAUUUCUUUUUUGAAGGGGAGGAAGAGGCUGAGUUAUCAGGUGCAUGCACAAAGGUCCCAGUUCAGUUCCUUGACACAUGUAGUGUAUGUAAUGGAUGAAGGAGAGUGAUGGGUGCUGGGGUGUCCAUUGCUGCUAUUCAAUGCAUGAAGUUUACAAUCUGAGUUCAGUUAUGUAGUCCUUUCUUUUUGCCUUCUGAUGAAGAAUCGUAUCACUGUAUGGUGUAUUUCCAUGUAAUAAGUAUGAAAUGGUGGUGUACUUAUUGGCUAGAUGGAGUAUAAAGUAUAAUGGUAAAACACAUGAAGAUGAGAAAAAAAUGUUUUUAUUAUUUAACAUCUACAUAUUUUACAUAUAUUGUAAAGUACAACACAACACAACAUCCAUCUAUUGUAGAUACAAGUACAACAAUACUGUACAAGGGCAGUAUAUACAUGUACUGUAUACCCUAACGGGCUCUGCUAUCGCUCUGCCAUUGACCCAAAAGUCGUUGUUGCUCUUCAUACCAGCUGAAGCUGAGGAGGAUAUACUUUUCAGAAUUCUUGUAUUUCCUCCCCUGAUCUGUUGAAUCGAAGCACUUGGCCCCGCCUUGCAGUUUUGAAAGCAAUCAUCACUAGAAUAGUGGCUUCUGCACAUGUGAUGCUCAAUUCGACCACGGUGUCUAGCUUCCUUGUGUGAACCAAGCGAAGGAAGCGGUGGCUGGCAAUUUCCUGGAAAGACCGCUGAAAAGGGAACACGGUUGGUUGCUGUGUGACACUGUGUAGGUGUAGCACGUCCUUUUCUUCUCGUGCCACUAGUCAGCAAUAUCUGGCCGUUCUUGCAUGGAAAAUUUGGGAGAAAUCCACCAAGGAUGACCGCUUCAAUUUAAUAGUAGUACUGUAUGAUUUUUUUUGAAGGGGAAAGUGAGACCAAGUUAUCAAAAAAAUAAAAUCGAUGAAGGUACGUGCAUGAUUGAGCUCCUCUUUUUCCUUUUUUAUAAAAUAUACUCUGAACUAAAACCACGGCGCUUAUUAUGGAACGGAGGGGCUCAGAGACUAUGUACAGGUGUUAGUUAAUUCAGCUCAUUGUUUCCUCUGUUAUUAUUUCAGCAGAGUGAUGGGCUGUUGGGGUGUCAACUUCUGAUAUUCAAAGCUUUAUUAUGUAGUCGUUUGUUUUUGUCUACUGAAGAAUCAUAUCAUAGUAUGGCGUACGUAAUUGCAUGUAAGUGUGAAACAGUGGUGUACUUACUGGCUAGAUGGGGUAAAGUAUA
RNA transcript from Triticum urartu, 2126 nucleotides. RefSeq lists it as uncharacterized. The record is from RefSeq and is a predicted model, not a curated record. Lineage: Eukaryota; Viridiplantae; Streptophyta; Magnoliopsida; Poales; Poaceae.